RNAcentral lists this ribosomal RNA (467 nucleotides) under uncultured bacterium. RNAcentral describes it as "partial 16S ribosomal RNA". It matches the Rfam family "Bacterial small subunit ribosomal RNA", at positions 28 to 506 of the family's 1533-position model. The record is from RNAcentral.
GACGAACGCUGGCGGCGUGCUUAACACAUGCAAGUCGAACGGAAAGGCCCUGCUUUUGUGGGGUGCUCGAGUGGCGAACGGGUGAGUAACACCUGAGUAACCUGCCCUUGACUUUGGGAUAACUUCAGGAAACUGGGGCUAAUACCGGAUAGGAGCUCCUGCUGCAUGGUGGGGGUUGGAAAGUUUCGGCGGUUGGGGAUGGACUCGCGGCUUAUCAGCUUGUUGGUGGGGUAGUGGCUUACCAAGGCUUUGACGGGUAGCCGGCCUGAGAGGGUGACCGGCCACAUUGGGACUGAGAUACGGCCCAGACUCCUACGGGAGGCAGCAGUGGGGAAUAUUGCACAAUGGGCGGAAGCCUGAUGCAGCAACGCCGCGUGCGGGAUGACGGCCUUCGGGUUGUAAACCGCUUUCGCCUGUGACGAAGCGUGAGUGACGGUAAUGGGUAAAGAAGCACCGGCUAACUACGU